UGGGGAAUAUUGCGCAAUGGACGAAAGUCUGACGGAGCAAUGCCGCGUGCAGGAUGAAGCGGUUUCGCCGUGUAAACUGCUGUCAGGGGCAGGAAAAACUGAUCCGCCCCAAAGGAAGAGACGGCUAACCCUGUGCCAGCAGCCGCGGUAAUACAGGGGUCUCGAGCGUUAAUCGGAAUCACUGGGCUUAAAGGGUGCGUAGGCGGAUCCGUAAGCGCUUUGUGAAAUCCCCCGGCUCAACCGGAGAACUGCAGGGCGAACUGCGGAUCUUGAGGAAACUAGAGGCCGGUAGAACGAUUGGUGUAGCGGUGGAAUGCGUAGAUAUCAGGAAGAACACCUGUGGCGAAGGCGGCUAGCUGGGCCAGUUCUGACGCUCAUCCGCGAAAGCGUGGGGAGCAAACAGGAUUAGAUACCCCCGUAGUCCCUGAGCGGGCUGGCAAGGCGCAU
RNAcentral lists this ribosomal RNA (447 nucleotides) under uncultured bacterium. RNAcentral's name for it is "bacterial SSU rRNA". It matches the Rfam family "Bacterial small subunit ribosomal RNA", at positions 355 to 825 of the family's 1533-position model. The record is from RNAcentral.